UCAUUGAGGGAGGAGUAAUAAAAUUGAUGCUACAACUUGAUAGUCUGUAGCAUAAGCUACAAAAUCAUUCAGAUACUUUUGCUUUCUGGUUGGAAAAUAUAACGGAAUAUUGGAGGUACGGCGGUCUUGGAAGCAGCGGGCCAGAAUUGCGCCGCGGAAUCGGUGAAUCCGCGAGGUUUUCAUGACAUCAGCUUGACGCAUCCGGCAGUGACAUAGCCCAAUGACAUCACCAGACGGGCCGCUGCCACAUUGCCCGAGAAAUCUCACUAUUUCAUACACCCCUGCCUCGGGCGCUGGGCGACCAGGGUCCACGUUUGGCAACCUUUACCAGUUGCUUUCCGAGGAUUUUGGAGUCCUGGCGGAUGUAACAUGGUCAGGGGAUUUUGGCGAGCUAACCGUGGGAAAUGACGCCAAGUUAGCAGGCCUAGAGACCCACGAUGGGCUCCCUGAAAUCUCCUGAAUUCAGUCGUCUCGCCACCUUUGCCAGCGCCUCCUCGCGGACUCCCGACUUCGCGUCUCUACCCCUAGUCAAGUUCACGAGUAUCCCCCGGUCGAAAGUUCGGUCCUACGGUACGUCCCCGACCCCUCUUUCGCCCCAGCGGUCUUUCACCCCCUACCCGAGUCUUUGGCUCCUCAAGUCGCUCCGUCCCGCGUCUCAUCCCGGCGAUUGAGCUCUUGAGUACCCCUCCCCUCGCCGUAAGUCCCGUCCACGGUUCGUCCCCGACGGCUCUUCCUGCCUGGGAUAACUCCCCCCACCCCGUGUUGUAGUUGUUUGUGUUUACUGUGUGUUAUUGUAAGAUCGUCUCUCGAUAGUUUAGCCUGUGUGGCAUUUGUCUUUUGUUAGUACAUCAAUACAUCAAGCGGCCACCCUCCUAGAUCGUGUGUUACCUUGUUCCCCUAGGAUACCACUUUCAAAGGUAGGUGACCAUUUACAUAGAGUGAUAGGGCUCUUACACCCCCCCCUAGACCAUCCCCCUUUUCUAGGAUUCCCUGUCUGGUGGACCGCCCCCAUCUGCGACCACCCCCAACGUGUUCAGUUGCUUGGCGUGAGAGCUGAGCACGUUAUAGAAAAAAAUGUGUCCACCUCCUGAAUUGUUUCCGCCCAUCCAUCAGUGUGCGGCGUGUGAUGACCCUGAUGCAGGUCGAUAGGGGGGACGUAGCUGGAGCGUCGUGAUAUCAGCCGACGGGACGUCUCUAAAUAGAGAUAUCUCGAGCUGACGUCACAAGGCUUCAGGGGGGCUGUUGCGUCGGACAGUGGUCGCCCGUGGUCUCUCUAUGGAGAGAGAUCUCGUGCAGACCACCUACGCAACACAACAGUGGGUGCUCUUGGGGGGCAGUCGUUGACCCUCCCAAAAAUGAAAAGGGUAGUCAAUGAAGAAAGAACGAGUCCGUCCUUGACUGAUUUUCGAAUAUAUUUUUCUGAGUUGACAAAUCCAAUCAGCUGAAAAGAGCUCGACAAGGCUGAAGGAUAGCUAAAAAGGGGAAAGAGACUCCAAAAAUAUGAGCGGUGUUUUGGAACAACCGGAGUCGUCCGUCUACCGGCUCGUCGAUGACGCGCAAGUGCAGGCUUGAGCCCUCAGCACAAGCACCAGACGACCGUUUUGCGAAGACUGGCUUUCCUCGAGCGUCGGAGCAAGUGGCCCAGCUCCCCACGCUCGGGUCGGCCGGCGGCGCGCAUGCGCAUUUCUCAGCGGACAUUAGCGUUUUUCCUAAAGUCGGUGCUCCUCCUGACGUUGCCAAUUUCCCCCUCUAAUGGUGAAUUGUCUGGGAAAAUUGGGCGUCUCCUCACAGGCGGUGAAUUCACAACUGAUGGUCACACUAGUGUAAGGAUUGCCGGGGGCGGGGGGGGGGGGGAUAGAGAAACGAACCAACCACGACGUCCGAUUCA
This 1888-nucleotide long non-coding RNA is filed under the name Bemisia tabaci. Its description in RNAcentral is "lncRNA ENSSSA2NGG013361". The record is from RNAcentral. Lineage: Eukaryota; Metazoa; Arthropoda; Insecta; Hemiptera; Aleyrodidae.